RNAcentral lists this non-coding RNA (28 nucleotides) under Mus musculus (house mouse). The record is from RNAcentral. Lineage: Eukaryota; Metazoa; Chordata; Mammalia; Rodentia; Muridae.
UCACCGUACUGUGGUAAUGAGCCAGACA